Molecule: ribosomal RNA, 253 nt
Filed under: uncultured bacterium
Lineage: Bacteria
Description: partial 16S ribosomal RNA
Rfam family: Bacterial small subunit ribosomal RNA
Source: RNAcentral
UACAGAGGUCUCAAGCGUUGUUCGGAUUCAUUGGGCGUAAAGGGUGCGUAGGUGGCGGGGCAAGUCUGGUGUGAAAUCCCGGGGCUCAACCCUGGAACUGCACUGGAUACUGCUUUGCUAGAGUACUGGAGAGGGAACUGGAAUUUACGGUGUAGCAGUGAAAUGCGUAGAUAUCGUAAGGAAGACCAGUGGCGAAGGCGAGUUCCUGGACAGUUACUGACGCUGAGGCACGAAAGCCAGGGGAGCAAACGGG